CGAGUUUGAUUCUGGCUCCGAGUGAAUGCUAGCGAAAGGCUUAAACACAUGCGAAUCGAACGAUGCAUAUUUUUAUUGUGCAUAGUGGUGUCUUGGUGAGUAACAUAUGAGGAUCGAAGUAACAUUAAUGGGCAUAAAAUUCCCAUGAAAGAUUAAUAUCGGUGUUGCUAGAGCUUAUACAUAAUUAGGCAGUUGGUGAUGUAACGGAUUACCAAGCCCGCGAUGUUUAGCUGGUUUGGGAGAAUGAUCAGCCACAACGGGACUGAAAGACCGCCCGUCUUCUUUGAGGAGGCAGCAGUGGGGAAUCUUGGACAAUGAGCGAAAGCUUGAUCCAGCAAUUUCGCAUGUAUGAAGAAGACCACUAAACGUUGUAAAGUACUAAGCUCGGGGAUAAUAAUGACGGUACCCGAGUAAAAAGCCCUGACUAACUUCGUGCCAGCAGUCGCGGUAAAACGGAGAGGGCAAGUGUUAUUCGUAUUGACUGGGUGUAAAGGGUACGUAGGCGGUUAUUUAAGUUAUAAAAAAAAAACUAUAUCUUUUUAUAAUACUAUAUGACUAGAGUUAAAAAGGGGAUGGCGGUACCUCCAGUUUAGAAGUGACAUUCGUUUGAGAUUGGGGGGACCAACAAUAGGCGAUGGCUGCUUUCCAUUUUUAUACUGACGCUGAGGUACGAAAGCAUGGGGAGCGAACAGGAUUAGAGACCCUGGUAGUCCAUGCCCUGACCUAUGAAUAUUAAUCGUCCAUUUAGAUAGUGGAUGACUAAGCUAACGCGAAAAUAUUCCACCUGAGGACUACGGCCGCAAGGUUAAAACUCAAAGAAAUUGGCGGAAGAUCGUUUAAGCGGUGGAGUAUGUGGUUUAAUUCGAUAAUACGCGAAAAACCUUACCAAUCUUUGUGCACAUUUUCGGUUCUACAAAACUUGUAGCCCAAAUUGAGGUGGUCAAUUUGGGCUAGCUAUGUGCCAGGCGUUGCAUGGCUGUCGUAAGCUCGUGUCUUAGGAUGUGUGGUUAACUCCAUGAACGGGCGCAACCCUUGUUCCUAGUUAGAUUAGGAAUGAAAACAGUGAAAACUGCUUUUGAGGAUGAGGAGUAUGUCAAGUCAAUAUGACCUUUAUAGAUUGGGCUACACACGUACUACAACGGUAGCUACAAUGAGAAACAAUGCCGUGAGGCGGAGUAAAUCUCUAAAACCUACCCUAGUUCGGAUUAUUUUUUGAAAUAAAAAUAUGAAGCCGGAAUCGCUAGUAAUCGCAAAAAAGAAUGUUGCGGUGAAUAUUAAGACCGAUCUUAGUACACACCGCCCGUCACGCCAUGGAAGCUUGUUUGGUUUGAAGAUAUUAAGUCACAUGUUUCGAAGUGAUUAUUCCUUAAUAAGUUCAUGUUAUAUGUGUUACUGGUAUCGACAAUUAUAUAGGUAACUGGGGUGAAGUCGUAACAAGGUAGUGGUAGGGGAACCUGCUGCUGGACAAAAA
This 1471-nucleotide ribosomal RNA is filed under the name Balamuthia mandrillaris. RNAcentral describes it as "SSU rRNA". It matches the Rfam family "Bacterial small subunit ribosomal RNA". The record is from RNAcentral. Lineage: Eukaryota; Discosea; Longamoebia; Balamuthiidae.